CUGGAGGAAGCCCCAGCGGAGGAAGUCACCCCUUGGCGACACUGGAGAUUGCAGCACACAGGCCAAAAGACCAUGUGGCAGCUGUGACGUGCAGGGCUGCCCAUAAAUGUUUGUGAUGCUGUUGCUGCACGGAGGACUGUCUUGCCUGCUCUCAGUGCUACCCAGGACAACUAGGUGCCAACAGGGUUGUAUCCAAGAAGGCUAUGUCCCUCUUCAGCAAUGGCAGAUGGACUCCAUUGGCCCUCCCCUGCUGUUAGAAGGGGUCAAACAGGCAUUGACUUGGGUGGACACAGUUACAGGCUUGAUGUGAGCCUUCCCUAGCAGAAGAGCCAACCAGAAGGAACCAGUUUGGUUAAGGGAUCCACUUGGCUGAAUGCCAUGCACGGCACAUCACUUUGUAAUGAAAAGUGACCAAGAAACCCAUUUCACAGGCCAUGACCUACAAGAGUGGCUUGAGACCCGGACACAUUACUGUUGUAGGACAGACUAGGCUAGGAAUUAGCAGGAAGCAGGCUUAUUGGCUGCAGCCAGGUCCAGAGGGGAAAAAAGCUUUUGCUACAAUUAAUCAACCCCUCUGAACCCCCGAGUUCAGAAAGUUCUAGAACUUCAUACCCAGUGUGUAAGGGGAGGGGCUCAGAGUCUCACAAUCUGCAGAAGUCCACUAACAGUAGGUUUUUUCCUACUGUUCUGAGCAACCAAUUCAGGCCAAGGACACUGUGGAAAUCAGUGCCUGGGAAAGGAAGUUCUCCUCCCCUCCCCUUGUGCCCACCAGCUGGCUUCCAAGGAUUUGACCACUGUCCUUUGAAAUGCAGACGCCUCUGUGAAGGCCUUGGGUUGGUCUUUCUUAUUGCAUUUUGCUUCUGUAAGAAUAUCCCCCUCCUGAAAUUUCUUGUGUAGAAAUUUUGCUGAGAAUCUAAGAACAAUUUCGUGAGGGUCAUUGGAGAAGCUUCAUGAAGACUUUCUGUGGAGGAGGGGGUGCCACUACAUCAUGGACUUCCCACCCGCCAUGCAACCCGACGGGAGCUGGAUGGGUUGAAAGAAUGAAUGUCCUGCUGAACAAGCCUUAAGAGUGCCUCUGUGCAGGGGGUGCUGCUCAUCUGCCUGGGCACGGAGGACCCUAAAUGAGAAACCUAGACAUCAGCAGUCUACAGCUGUUUCUGUUAUCUGGCCCACAGCCAUCAGCAUUGAGGUUACAGAUAAAGGACUCUUCCACUGAGCAUUUUCUUAAGCCAGUCUGGGGCACAAAUAACAACAUAUGUUGCUGGCCCCUCAAGACAGCACAUUGGAACACGGAGCAUUAGUGGGUCAUGGACUGUACAAGGAAGUCCCUACUGGUUUGCCCUACUGACCCCUUGAGGGGAGGGAGAAUCUCUAAACUUACAAGUAAAGCCUACUGUGUUGGGAACCUGGUCCUCACAAGUACGGGUGAUGUUAUCCUUGGGUGUGUCACUUUAAGACAGUUGUAUAUCCGGGAGGUGUCUUAUUCUCUCCGUACCUCUGAAGGGCAAAAGGACAGGUUGGCAUGGUGCACUUGCCCAGGCAAGCCUACUGGGCAAGCUGCUUUACUAACACACGAUCGUACAGUGGCCUGUCUACUGCCUCAUGGAGCUGAUUUGUGAUUACUGGUGUCUAUUAAACGUCUGCCUUAUUCUCCGUGGGCUGGCAAUAAGAGACCUAUUCCUGGACUGAGUAAAGGAAGCUGCACAUCAUGCCAGCCACACUGACUGUUGGCUCUGCCCAGAACGCCCUGUGACUGCAGCACAAGGACUUCCCUGGGGAGUCCAACCUACAAAUGAGACGGAACAGACUUGGAUAGAACAGAACUGGGCUAAAACUCAGUCUCUCAUGCUUUAACCCAAGUGUCUAAACAAAUGUUGCUGUAAUUCCCUUCCCAAGCUUGCUGGUAGGUUCUUGCCCUCUGUCCUGCUGUUGGGAGAUAUGGAUGCAGGGUGUCUCCGGAGCCCUGUUCUGAGGGCCUCCCUGAAGACAGGAGAGGAUUUGAGUUUGUGCGAGACAUAAAGGGGCUUCUGAGGUGCUAAGGGUGUGGAGUGUUGGGUUAGCACUAAUGGGUGCCUAGGAAAGCUGGCUGUUUGGGCAGUGAGAUAAGGACACUAAAGAAUGUGAUAAUGAAGGAGAGGAGAGGGGACGCUGGCCACUCCCCUCUUCCCCAAUCUGUAAAUGAGGAGUAAAGCAGAGUGACCUUGGUUGUCAAGUAAAAUACUGUACUCACAGAACGUCUAAGGAAAUCCACGGGCACAGGGGCACACAACCUGCCCUAGACAUUCCCCUGCUUAUAGGCAUGGUACAUUCCCAUCGGCCAGCACCUAGGAGUGCGUGAAGAAUAA
Molecule: long non-coding RNA, 2345 nt
Filed under: Marmota monax (woodchuck)
Lineage: Eukaryota; Metazoa; Chordata; Mammalia; Rodentia; Sciuridae
Source: RNAcentral